This 253-nucleotide ribosomal RNA is filed under the name uncultured bacterium. Its description in RNAcentral is "partial 16S ribosomal RNA". It matches the Rfam family "Bacterial small subunit ribosomal RNA", at positions 524 to 776 of the family's 1533-position model. The record is from RNAcentral.
UACGUAGGGUGCAAGCGUUAAUCGGAAUUACUGGGCGUAAAGCGUGCGCAGGCGGUUUCGUAAAUCUGUCGUGAAAUCCCCGGGCUUAACCUGGGAAUGGCGAUGGAGACUGCGAGGCUAGAGUUUGGCAGAGGGGGGUAGAAUUCCACGUGUAGCAGUGAAAUGCGUAGAGAUGUGGAGGAACACCGAUGGCGAAGGCAGCCCCCUGGGUCAAAACUGACGCUCAUGCACGAAAGCGUGGGGAGCAAACAGG